This 156-nucleotide unclassified non-coding RNA is filed under the name uncultured Chaetothyriales. RNAcentral describes it as "sequence contains ITS2". The record is from RNAcentral. Lineage: Eukaryota; Fungi; Ascomycota; Eurotiomycetes; Chaetothyriales.
UCACCGUGUCAAGCUUGGCUUGUUGUUGGGCCCUUUGUCACUGGGUGACAGGUCCAAAAGAUAAUGACUGGUGUCAUGCCGACGCUAUAUGCAACGAGCUUAUCACAGCACGCAUCUGGCGGUCGUGUGGCCCGGUCCUCCCCCCUUUAUCUCUAA